AGUGAGCGGCAAAGCUCAAAUUUGAAAGCUAGCACCUUCGGUGUUCGCGUUGUAAUUUGAAGAUAGUUUCCUUGAGUAGUCCUUUAUCUAUGUUCCUUGGAACAGGACGUCAUAAAGGGUGAGAACCCCGUAUGAUUUUGGAUACUACUCUUUGUGGGAUUCUAUCGAAGAGUCGAGUUGUUUGGGAAUAA
This 191-nucleotide ribosomal RNA is filed under the name uncultured Saccharomycopsis. RNAcentral's name for it is "partial 26S ribosomal RNA". It matches the Rfam family "Eukaryotic large subunit ribosomal RNA", at positions 104 to 283 of the family's 3401-position model. Lineage: Eukaryota; Fungi; Ascomycota; Saccharomycetes; Ascoideales; Saccharomycopsidaceae. The record is from RNAcentral.